GAUUUACAUAAUCUUCUAACAUCUUCCUGGGUUCCCAGCUAUACACUGAAAAAAAGCAGUUGCUGAGUCUACCAACAGCCUUGUCAUGUGAGACAAGGUGAAUUACAUAACUGCAUCAUAAUCUACUUACUACUUCUUAUGGGUUGAAUUGUGUCCUGAAGAAAAAUAUGCUAAAGUCCUCGCACCUGGUACCUGUGAAUGUGACCUUACAUAUAUCUAUAGCACUUGGCCCUCUACCUCACACAAGUGAAAACUUCACUCCAGAUUUGAAUCCCAGUGGUUUCUGGAUCAGAUCCCCCUCUCCAGGAAAAUCCUGUUAACGGUUCUUCUGGGUCACCCAACCAAUUUGAAUGGCCACUUUCCUUCUACAGAAGUAAGAAAUUUCUAUUAAAUCUUAAAUUAAAAAUUUUAUGCAUCAAGGAU
Homo sapiens (human) is the source of this 423-nucleotide long non-coding RNA. The record is from Ensembl. NCBI's taxonomy places the organism in Eukaryota, Metazoa, Chordata, Mammalia, Primates, Hominidae.